Molecule: ribosomal RNA, 429 nt
Filed under: Muribacter muris
Lineage: Bacteria; Pseudomonadati; Pseudomonadota; Gammaproteobacteria; Pasteurellales; Pasteurellaceae
Description: bacterial SSU rRNA
Rfam family: Bacterial small subunit ribosomal RNA
Source: RNAcentral
UCGAACGGUAGCAGAAGAGAGCUUGCUCUCUUGCUGACGAGUGGCGGACGGGUGAGUAAUGCUUGGGAAUCUGGCUUAUGGAGGGGGAUAACUACUGGAAACGGUAGCUAAUACCGCGUAAUGUCUGYGGACUAAAGGGGGCGAAAGCUCUUGCCAUAAGAUGAGCCCAAGUGGGAUUAGGUAGUUGGUGAGGUAAYGGCUCACCAAGCCGUCGAUCUCUAGCUGGUCUGAGAGGAUGACCAGCCACACUGGAACUGAGACACGGUCCAGACUCCUACGGGAGGCAGCAGUGGGGAAUAUUGCACAAUGGGGGAAACCCUGAUGCAGCCAUGCCGCGUGAAUGAAGAAGGCCUUCGGGUUGUAAAGUUCUUUCGGUGAUGAGGAAGGUGUAAUGGUUAAUACCCGUUACAAUUGACGUUAGUCACAGAA